RNAcentral lists this ribosomal RNA (320 nucleotides) under uncultured soil bacterium. RNAcentral's name for it is "bacterial SSU rRNA". It matches the Rfam family "Bacterial small subunit ribosomal RNA", at positions 26 to 373 of the family's 1533-position model. The record is from RNAcentral.
AGAACGAACGCUGGCGGCAUGCCUAACACAUGCAAGUCGAACGAGACCUUCGGGUCUAGUGGCGCACGGGUGCGUAACGCGUGGGAAUCUGCCCUUAGGUUCGGAAUAACAGUUAGAAAUGACUGCUAAUACCGGAUGAUGACUUCGGUCCAAAGAUUUAUCGCCUAAGGAUGAGCCCGCGUAGGAUUAGCUUGUUGGUGAGGUAAAGGCUCACCAAGGCUACGAUCCUUAGCUGGUCUGAGAGGAUGAUCAGCCACACUGGGACUGAGACACGGCCAGACUCCGUACGGGAGCAGCAGGUGGGGAAUAGUUGGACAAGU